AACGAACGCUGGCGGCGUGCCUAACACAUGCAAGUCGAGCGCGAAAGUCCCUUCGGGGGCGAGUAGAGCGGCGGACGGGUGAGUAGCACGCGGAUAAUCUGCCUUCGGGUUUGGGAUAACCCCGCGAAAGUGGGGCUAAUACCGGAUAAGACCACGUAACCCAGGUUACGGGGUAAAAGAUGGCUUGUACUCGUACACGCUAUCACCUGAAGAUGAGUCCACGGCCUAUCAGCUUGUUGGUGAGGUAACGGCUCACCAAGGCUAUGACGGGUAGCUGGUCUGAGAGGACGACCAGCCACACUGGGACUGAGACACGGCCCAGACUCCUACGGGAGGCAG
RNAcentral lists this ribosomal RNA (339 nucleotides) under uncultured Pseudomonadota bacterium. Its description in RNAcentral is "bacterial SSU rRNA". It matches the Rfam family "Bacterial small subunit ribosomal RNA", at positions 29 to 351 of the family's 1533-position model. Lineage: Bacteria; Pseudomonadati; Pseudomonadota. The record is from RNAcentral.